RNAcentral lists this ribosomal RNA (481 nucleotides) under uncultured bacterium. RNAcentral's name for it is "partial 16S ribosomal RNA". It matches the Rfam family "Bacterial small subunit ribosomal RNA", at positions 28 to 523 of the family's 1533-position model. The record is from RNAcentral.
GACGAACGCUGGCGGCGUGCUUAACACAUGCAAGUCGAGCGGAAAGGCCACUUCGGUGGUACUCGAGCGGCGAACGGGUGAGUAACACGUGAGUAAUCUGCCCCUGGCUUAGGGAUAGCAACCGGAAAAGGUGAUUAAUACCGGAUACGACCACUUCUCGCAUGGGAUGGUGGUGGAAAGUUUUUUCGGCCAGGGAUGUGCUAGCGGCCUAUCAGCUUGAUGGUGAGGUAAUGGCUCACCAUGGCUUCGAAGGGUAGUCGGCCUGAGAGGGUGACCGGUCAUACUGGGACGUUGACACUGCCCAGACUCUUACGUGAAGCAUCAGUGCAGAAUGUUGGUCAAUGAGCGGAAGCCUGAUCCAGCAACUCCGCGUGAGGGAUGACGGCCUUCGGGUUGUAAACAUCUUUCAGCAGGGACGAAGCGCAAGUGACGGUACCUGCAGAAGAAGCACCGGCCAUCUACGUGCCAGCCGCCGCAGUAA